Molecule: unclassified non-coding RNA, 1338 nt
Filed under: Leishmania donovani
Lineage: Eukaryota; Euglenozoa; Kinetoplastea; Trypanosomatida; Trypanosomatidae
Description: gene:LdHU3.27.1610(CDS-product:hypothetical_prote in_conserved)
Source: RNAcentral
GAGUGUCCGUAUGGUUUCUGGGUGCUCUCGCUCGCGUCCGCGUGCCACCCCUCUCCCCUAAAGCGCUCGUCAGCCACGCAAGAGCACAACGCGUGCGAAAGCAGCGGCAGCAAACACACGCAACACCCACACAAACACCACGCGUAAGAAUCGAACCUCACAUCACGGCUGUGCUGGUGCUGUGGAGCGACGGCAACGAGACUACCAGAAAACGUCUCCCUUCCCCCUCCCCCAAUUGCCGAGCACGCUCUUUUCUUUUUGUCUCUCGCCCAUGCAGCCAAAUAGUGCGCCAGUGUCGUACGGGGCCCAGCUGCGGGCCUCGAUGCAGACGCUUCGCGCGAACGACAUCCAGUUUGAGCAGUUUACGCGCGGCCUUGGGGCGGUGCUGCAGCAAUGGACUGCUCUGCAGCUCGUGGCCCAGCACUGUGACAGUCGUGCCCCUGCUGUGCUGUACGAGGAUUUGUGCGCCUGGCACAAGCGCGACGGAGAGGUGUACGUGGAUGACAUGGAGGUGUACUUCGAGGAGUUCUUCGACAACAUUCACUCCGCCCGCAUCGAGGAUGAUAGCAUGCAGGAGGUGGGGUCGGUGCUGCACGACAUGUACUGCCGCUGCUGCCUCAACGACUUUAGCAUGGUGGAGCACUACCUGCAGACGCUGACGAUGUAUGCGCAGACAAACCCGGUUGCCAUGUCCGUGAACGGUGGCACUGCCGAAAACCUCGAAGACGAUGCCGAGGAGGACGCCGAGGUGGGCGGUGAUGCGGACUCUGAGGAGGGCGUGGACAAUGAGGAUGAGGAGUCGGAACCAAUGCAGACCUCGGCACCGCAGGCUCCGCAGCAGCCACCACAGGCACCGCGCCAUCAGCAGCAGCCUCAGCGCAAGAAGCGCAAGAACGCCUCGGUUCGAUCCAAGGAUGGCUGGAACAUUGUCCAGUAGAGGCGCAUAUGUGUGUGUUAAUGCAGGGGGAUGCCAUCGAGGCAGCGUGCGACGCACGGCUUGAUGAGGGGCAGCAAAAGCAAGCAGCCCUCUUUGCUUGUUUUUCCGUUUUUUUAUUGUCGUUUCUUUGCUGUGCCCGUCCAUCCUUCGCCCCACUGCUGCUACUGCUUGUUUCGCCCGACCGCGACACCCCCUCCCUCGUUCAUCGCCCAUUCUACUGGUCCGCUUCUUUUUCCGAGGUCGUUCUUCCGCGUCGAGAUGUUUGGCCCGUCUCCUUCUACUCGAUGCUUCGGACGGAGCUCGCCUGUUCUCUCAGUUGUUUAUGUCUUCGUUUACCAACGUUUAACGCAACUAAAAGGCAAUGCCAUGACCUGGAAGCAGUGAUAACCACCGCCCCCAAC